Molecule: long non-coding RNA, 1667 nt
Organism: Astatotilapia calliptera (eastern happy)
Lineage: Eukaryota; Metazoa; Chordata; Actinopteri; Cichliformes; Cichlidae
Source: Ensembl
GUUUAGGUGGAGUUUUUUUUUUAGAAAAGUUAAUUGAGUCCAAUAAUAGAUUAAAUGCUGCUAUGAGGAUGUUACUUUCAGCAUCUAUAUGGGUUAAAAUCAUCUUCAAUUAUUAUUUUAUCUGAAAUCAGAAAUCAGAUGGAUUUUGAGUUUUCCAAUUAGGGUGGACAAGACUAAGAGUUAGUCUUUCAAAUCAAUUAAAACUCUGUUUGAGUCUAUGGUUGAUUAAUUGUUGAGGUUGUGGGUCUUCAUCCUCAUCAUUGAAAGAGUGUCCACGUUACAUCCAAGAUGAACAGAAUCAAUUUUUUGGGAUUUCCUUACCUGGAUGAUUGAGCGUGCAUCAAGACCUUUGAGCUCAGAGGUUGUAGUAAUUGCUCAAUUUUUUUUCUGGAGUAUCAGUUUUUCCUUGUCUUCCCUCCACUAUCUCCACCAUUUCUGUCUCCUGUCAUGUCCCAAUAUCGGUCUGGUGUCUGUGUGUCCUGUUGGUGUUGCUGUUAGUGUCGCUAUCUGGUUUCCCUGUUAUUUGUGUCAAAUUUAUAUCUAUUAGUUACUUUCUGUUUUAUUUUAAUAGUCCCAUAUCUCGUGUGCGUUACUCCUCCGCCUGUGCUUCAAGGAUUCUGGUAAUUUGCAUGACUUGGGGGUGUUGACUUAUUGAUUUAUUCUAUGAAGAAUAAAUUGAUUUAUUCUAUUUAUUCUAAUAAUUGAUUUAUUCUAUGAAGCAGAAUAAAUCAUUUAGCCGAAUAAUAAAUAAUGGAUUAACAGGGACUUAGAGGAGAGAGACCUCAUUUUUAAUAAUACACAUUUAGUUAUUUUAUUCUUUGGGAAACCUGAGGAUGCUAUAUUGUAUAUUUACAUUGUGUUUUUGUGAUUUGUAUUUUCUUGAAUAUUUUUUGAUAUGUUUAAAUUGUUUUUUUGCUUAUUUUUGGUUUGUUUUUUUGGUGGUCUGGGAGCAGAGGGAUAACAGGAAGAGAAAAGCUGAAGAGAGGCAUCUCUGGUUCAUCCAGGAAACAGAAGAAUGACUUGUCUUUGUUACCAGACUGAUUCCAAUGCAAUAACUGUAUGUACCAGUGAAACCUUUCAGUAAAUAUUCAUGUAUGUUUUUUUUUUGUCCUUAAACACCUCAUGAUCGUCUAUUUAUACAACACUGAAGUUCAAACUAGCCUGUUUAACUUUUACAGUAGUGUGUAGAUCCUGCCUGUAUAUUGGCUAUCCUGUCGUUAAGUCUGACGUCACUAGCCGUGUCUGGGCCUAAACUACGCUGCAGGUCCAUAUAUCAAACAAUCACUAUUGCAUUACUGAGAGUUGAAAAACUGUCUAAAGUCUUUCAUCUUUAAUAAAAUGAUCAGUGUUCUGCUCUACCAGGUGUAACAAUUGAGUUUAACAUCCAGGCAUCCAUGAAAACGGAGUUUAUGACAUUUAACGGAGUUAGAAGUUAGCAGGAAGUUAGCUCGCUAGCUUCUAUCUAAAUACAAUAUAGCAUGUCCUGACUGCGGGGUUUUGGAAACAAUAUUAAAACGUACAGCUCUGUUAUCACUUCCAACAUAAAUGAAGACAGAAAACUAAACAGCAGUGACGUUUGUAGGGUUACUGAAGUUUGGCUAGCUGGUAUAUAAUGAUGUGCUACGUGAGCGAAAACAGCUAUGUUAGCAUAAUAUAAACAAGCUAAC